GAUGAACGCUAGCGGCAGGCUUAAUACAUGCAAGUCGUGGGGCAGCAGGUUUGUAGCAAUACAGAUGCUGGCGACCGGCAAACGGGUGCGGAACACGUACAGAACCUUCCUUUGAGCGGGGAAUAGCCCAGAGAAAUUUGGAUUAAUACCCCAUAGUAUAAUGAAGUGGCAUCACUUUAUUAUUAAAGAUUUAUCACUCGAAGAUGGCUGUGCGGCUGAUUAGGUAGUUGGCGGGGUAAAGGCCCACCAAGCCUGCGAUCAGUAACUGGUGUGAGAGCACGACCAGUCACACGGGCACUGAGACACGGGCCCGACUCCUACGGGAGCAGCAGUAAGGAAUAUUGGGUCAAUGGAGGCAACUCUGAACCAGCCAUGCCGCGUGGAGGAUG
Molecule: ribosomal RNA, 389 nt
Filed under: uncultured bacterium
Lineage: Bacteria
Description: bacterial SSU rRNA
Rfam family: Bacterial small subunit ribosomal RNA
Source: RNAcentral